GAGGCAGCAGUGGGGAAUCUUGGACAAUGGGGGCAACCCUGAUCCAGCCAUGCCGCGUGAGUGAAGAAGGCCUUAGGGUUGUAAAGCUCUUUCAACGGUGAAGAUGAUGACAGUAGCCGUAGAAGAAGCUCCGGCUAACUCCGUGCCAGCAGCCGCGGUAAUACGGAGGGGGCAAGCGUUGUUCGGAAUUACUGGGCGUAAAGGGCGUGUAGGCGGCUUUGCAAGUCAGAGGUGAAAGGCCUGGGCUCAACCUGGGAACUGCCUUUGAAACUGCGGAGCUUGAGACCGGAAGAGGAUGGCGGAAUUCCCAGUGUAGAGGUGAAAUUCGUAGAUAUUGGGAAGAACACCAGUGGCGAAGGCGGCCAUCUGGUCCGGUUCUGACGCUGAGGCGCGAAAGCGUGGGGAGCAAACAGGAUUAGAUACCCUGGUAGUCCACGCCGUAAACGAUGUGUGCUAGCCGUCGGGAGACUUAGUCUUUCGGUGGCGCAGCUAACGCGAUAAGCACACCGCCGGGGGAGUACGGCCGCAAGGUUAAAACUCAAAGGAAUUG
This 550-nucleotide ribosomal RNA is filed under the name uncultured bacterium. RNAcentral describes it as "bacterial SSU rRNA". It matches the Rfam family "Bacterial small subunit ribosomal RNA", at positions 345 to 912 of the family's 1533-position model. The record is from RNAcentral.